Molecule: unclassified non-coding RNA, 269 nt
Filed under: plant metagenome
Description: partial contains small subunit ribosomal RNA, internal transcribed spacer 1, and 5.8S ribosomal RNA
Source: RNAcentral
UUUCCGUAGGUAAACCUGCGGAAGGGUCAUUAAUGAGUUGUCAUGGGGUUCGAUGCUGGCAGCCAAUUUUUGGAUGCAUGUGCUUGCCCUAACAAUCAUCUUCCAAACACCUGUGCACAUUUUUGAGGGAGUCUUGAGUUGGUUGCCGCUCUUGGGUGAUUUUCUCACAUUCCCUUAAAUCAUUAUACGCUAUUAACAAUGUUGAACGUGCUCUGUGCCGCAAGGCUAUUAAUAUAAUACAACUUUUAACAACGGAUCUCUUGGCUCUC